UGGGGAAUUUUGGACAAUGGGCGAAAGCCUGAUCCAGCAAUGCCGCGUGUGUGAAGAGGGCCUUCGGGUUGUAAAGCACUUUUGUCCGGAAAGAAAUCCUUGGCUCUAAUACAGUCGGGGGAUGACGGUACCGGAAGAAUAAGCACCGGCUAACUACGUGCCAGCAGCCGCGGUAAUACGUAGGGUGCAAGCGUUAAUCGGAAUUACUGGGCGUAAAGCGUGCGCAGGCGGUUUGCUAAGACCGAUGUGAAAUCCCCGGGCUCAACCUGGGAACUGCAUUGGUGACUGGCAGGCUAGAGUAUGGCAGAGGGGGGUAGAAUUCCACGUGNUAGCAGUGAAAUGCGUAGAGAUGUGGAGGAAUACCGAUGGCGAAGGCAGCCCCCUGGGCCAAUACUGACGCUCAUGCACGAAAGCGUGGGGAGCAAACAGGAUUAGAUACCCUGGUAGUCCACGCCCUAAACGAUGUCAACUAGUUGUUGGGGAUUCAUUUCCUUAGUAACGUAGCUAACGCGUGAAGUUGACCGCCUGGGGAGUACGGUCGCAAGAUUAAAACUUAAAGGAAUUGAC
RNAcentral lists this ribosomal RNA (567 nucleotides) under uncultured bacterium. RNAcentral's name for it is "partial 16S ribosomal RNA". It matches the Rfam family "Bacterial small subunit ribosomal RNA", at positions 355 to 914 of the family's 1533-position model. The record is from RNAcentral.